Rhinolophus ferrumequinum (greater horseshoe bat) is the source of this 1174-nucleotide long non-coding RNA. NCBI's taxonomy places the organism in Eukaryota, Metazoa, Chordata, Mammalia, Chiroptera, Rhinolophidae. The record is from Ensembl.
GGAGGGUGGAAUCUUUACCUAGGGUUUUGGAUCGAGGCAAAAGCACAUCACUCUCUUCGUUUUCUCAUCUUGGACAUUUACAGAGUGUGACCCAGCAAGCCCGGCGGGAAACAAACUAACACUGCAAGGGAAACCCAGCCACAAAGCCACUCAACUUUUCCAGUGUGGUCCAAACGCCAUUCUUGGCAUCUGGGGCGCCCUGGCUUCCCUGCCGCCUUUGUCCUCGCGCGCCCACCGUGCUCGCCUUCCUGGCGCACGGUCGCCAGCGCGGGCGGGCAGCCUGUCGCUCAUCCGUCGCUCAUCUGCCACCAAGCGCUCUCUGCAGCCACUCGCUGCCAUUCCGACGGGAGGUGGAGAUGAAUAAGAAGCCUCUGGUCUAAGACAGCAGACACCGAAUGCUCCCAUGAGAUAGUACAAUCACAGAGGUACGAAGAGCGCACUGUGGGAAGUCAGCGGAGAAUGAGUUUCAGCGUCUGCAAGGAUCAGGAAAUGUUUCCCACAUAUGCUGAUCACUGUACCGGGUCAUAAAGGAUGAAGAAGAAUUGCUCAAGGGGAGAAGGUCAUGCCAGGCAUGGAUGGAAAAUAAAGCUGAAGUGAGAGGAGGAAAAGUAGGACAGGUGGAGACGAAAGGAAGGAGUCCAAUGGGAUUGAUAGAAAAGAGAGAAUAAACAAAAGGGGAAAAGCGACAUGGACGAGAGUGAAAAGAGGCAUUAGUAAGCAUCUCUGCUGCUCCUGGGCUGCACCCAUGCCGCCACUAACCAGGCUCACUCCCAGGGCAAACACCAUCAUGACUAUAUCCAUCUCACCAAAAGUUGCUGACCUUCAGGAAACACUGUAAAGUGACUUAGAAUGUUCACAAUGUGCCACAAAGGACAUACGGCAGAUACAAGAGAAGGAUAAAAAGACCGAGGCAUUGAAAAAGUUUGGGAGAAAAUACUUUGAAAUGAUAUUAGCUGUAAUCUAUCAUCUAUGGGUGAUACGAUUAUGAAUGAUUUUAAUUUUUUUUUUACUUAUGUGGAGUUUCUAAUCUACAGUGGGCAUGAAUACUUAUGUAUAAACUAAUGGGCUACUUAUUGAGUGAUUCUUAAAUAAACACAUUCUAAUAAAAAGGUUUAAGUUCAUGAUAAUGGUUUGUGAUCUGUAUUGGAAAGGUGAGGGUAAAAAACUAGGAUUA